Molecule: ribosomal RNA, 470 nt
Filed under: uncultured bacterium
Lineage: Bacteria
Description: bacterial SSU rRNA
Rfam family: Bacterial small subunit ribosomal RNA
Source: RNAcentral
GGCUCGAGGACGAACGCUGGCGGCGUGCUUAACACAUGCAAGUCGAACGGUAAGGCCCUUCGGGGUACACGAGUGGCGAACGGGUGAGUAACACGUGGGUGAUCUGCCCUGCACUUCGGGAUAAGCCUGGGAAACUGGGUCUAAUACCGGAUAGGACCAUGGACUUCACGGUUUGUGGUGGAAAGCUUUUGCGGUGUGGGAUGGGCCCGCGGCCUAUCAGCUUGUUGGUGGGGUAAUGGCCUACCAAGGCGACGACGGGUAGCCGGCCUGAGAGGGUGUCCGGCCACACUGGGAUUGAGAUACGGCCCAGACUCCUACGGGAGGCAGCAGUGGGGAAUAUUGCACAAUGGGCGCAAGCCUGAUGCAGCGACGCCGCGUGAGGGAUGACGGCCUUCGGGUUGUAAACCUCUUUCAAUAGGGACGAAGCGCAAGUGACGGUACCUAUAGAAGAAGCACCGGCCAACUACGUG